AGGGUUCGAUUCUGGCUCGGGAUGAACGCUAGCGAUAGGGCCUAACACAUGCAAGUCGAGGGGCAGCACAUGAGUAGCAAUACGAUGGUGGCGACCGGCGCACGGGUGAGUAACACGUAUGCAACCUACCUUUAACAGGGGAAUAACCCGUUGAAAAACGGACUAAUACCCCAUAACACAGGGGUCCCGCAUGGGAAUAUUUGUUAAAGAUUAAUCGGUUGAAGAUGGGCAUGCGUUCCAUUAGCUUGUUGGUGAGGUAACGGCUCACCAAGGCCACGAUGGAUAGGGGAACUGAGAGGUUUAUCCCCCACACUGGAACUGAGACACGGUCCAGACUCCUACGGGAGGCAGCAGUGAGGAAUAUUGGUCAAUGGAGGCAACUCUGAACCAGCCAAGUCGCGUGAAAGGAUGAAGGUCUUAUGGAUUGUAAACUUCUUUUGCAAGGGAAUAAAGUGGGGACGUGUCCUCCUUGCCAUCCGUACUUGCGACUUAGGAUCGGCUACUCGGUGCCAGCAGCCGC
Molecule: ribosomal RNA, 520 nt
Filed under: uncultured bacterium
Lineage: Bacteria
Description: bacterial SSU rRNA
Rfam family: Bacterial small subunit ribosomal RNA
Source: RNAcentral